UAAUAGCUCAUUGAUUUAGGUUUAUUGUUAGAUACAUGACAAAAUCCAACCAUGGCCUUCUCACACAGGCAACCCAACACCAACACCAACGAGAAAAUCAUGUCAUCAACAAUAUCUUGAACUACUAAAAUUCUAGUCCGCCUAUGCAACAGAAAUUUUCCCAAAAAUAUUUCAUUGCCACGACUUUGGACAUGCUUUAUAGACAUUGAGCACUUCUCAAAUCAGCUUCAUUUUCAUCUGGAAGAAAUUGGGGUAAAACAAAAAAAAUAAUAAUUUGUUGACACACAUGCUUCAAGGCCUAAUUUUGAUCCCACAUUUUGUUGUAAUACACUCGUCAACCCUUUAUACGAACCACAAAUGAACAUGCUAGAAGAUCGGAUAUGUCAGCAGAAACAGCACAAGGAAUUCCUAAGUUUGAAAGAGCUCCUCUUAUGAUACCGCAAGGGAAAUAGAGAUGCAUGCUCAUUGCUUGGGUAGCCUUGUUUUCAGCCAGUGCAGAGAUCUUGUGAUAAAGCUACAUUUUCAAUUGACGGAUCGACUGGCAUCUGUGCAAGCCAACGAAACC
RNAcentral lists this unclassified non-coding RNA (565 nucleotides) under Hevea brasiliensis (rubber tree). Lineage: Eukaryota; Viridiplantae; Streptophyta; Magnoliopsida; Malpighiales; Euphorbiaceae. The record is from RNAcentral.